GGGUUGUGAGGUUAAGCGACUAAGCGUACACGGUGGAUGCCCUGGCAGUCAGAGGCGAUGAAGGGCGUACUAAUCUGCGAUAAGCGCCGGUAAGGUGAUAUGAACCGUUAUAACCGGCGAUACCCGAAUGGGGAAACCCAGUGUGAUUCGUCACACUAUCAUUAACUGAAUCCAUAGGUUAAUGAGGCGAACCGGGGGAACUGAAACAUCUAAGUACCCCGAGGAAAAGAAAUCAACCGAGAUUCCCCCAGUAGCGGCGAGCGAACGGGGAGGAGCCCAGAGCCUGAAUCAGCAUGUGUGUUAGUGGAAGCGUCUGGAAAGGCGCGCGAUACAGGGUGACAGCCCCGUACACAAAAGCGCAUGUGCUGUGAGCUCGAUGAGUAGGGCGGGACACGUGGUAUCCUGUCUGAAUAUGGGGGGACCAUCCUCCAAGGCUAAAUACUCCUGACUGACCGAUAGUGAACCAGUACCGUGAGGGAAAGGCGAAAAGAACCCCGGCGAGGGGAGUGAAAAGAACCUGAAACCGUGUACGUACAAGCAGUGGGAGCACAGGUUUACCUGUGUGACUGCGUACCUUUGUAUAAUGGGUCAGCGACUUAUAUUCUGUAGCAAGGUUAACCGAAUAGGGGAGCCGGAGGGAAACCGAGUCUUAAUUGGGCGUUAAGUUGCAGGGUAUAGACCCGAAACCCGGUGAUCUAGCCAUGGGCAGGUUGAAGGUUGGGUAACACUAACUGGAGGACCGAACCGACUAAUGUUGAAAAAUUAGCGGAUGACCUGUGGCUGGGGGUGAAAGGCCAAUCAAACCGGGAGAUAGCUGGUUCUCCCCGAAAGCUAUUUAGGUAGCGCCUCGUGAAUUCAUCUCCGGGGUAGAGCACUGUUUCGGCUAGGGGGCCAUCCCGGCUUACCAACCCGAUGCAAACUGCGAAUACCGGAGAAUGUUAUCACGGGAGACACACGGCGGGUGCUAACGUCCGUCGUGAAGAGGGAAACAACCCAGACCGCCAGCUAAGGUCCCAAAGUCAUGGUUAAGUGGGAAACGAUGUGGGAAGGCCCAGACAGCCAGGAUGUUGGCUUAGAAGCAGCCAUCAUUUAAAGAAAGCGUAAUAGCUCACUGGUCGAGUCGGCCUGCGCGGAAGAUGUAACGGGGCUAAACCAUGCACCGAAGCUGCGGCAGCGACACUGUGUGUUGUUGGGUAGGGGAGCGUUCUGUAAGCCUGCGAAGGUGGCCUGUGAGGGUUGCUGGAGGUAUCAGAAGUGCGAAUGCUGACAUAAGUAACGAUAAAGCGGGUGAAAAGCCCGCUCGCCGGAAGACCAAGGGUUCCUGUCCAACGUUAAUCGGGGCAGGGUGAGUCGACCCCUAAGGCGAGGCCGAAAGGCGUAGUCGAUGGGAAACGGGUUAAUAUUCCCGUACUUGGUGUUACUGCGAAGGGGGGACGGAGAAGGCUAUGUUGGCCGGGCGACGGUUGUCCCGGUUUAAGCGUGUAGGUGUGUGUUCCAGGUAAAUCCGGUUCACUUUAACACUGAGGCGUGACGACGAGGCACUACGGUGCUGAAGCAACAAAUGCCCUGCUUCCAGGAAAAGCCUCUAAGCAUCAGGUAACAUCAAAUCGUACCCCAAACCGACACAGGUGGUCAGGUAGAGAAUACCAAGGCGCUUGAGAGAACUCGGGUGAAGGAACUAGGCAAAAUGGUGCCGUAACUUCGGGAGAAGGCACGCUGACACGUAGGUGAAGUGAUUUACUCAUGGAGCUGAAGUCAGUCGAAGAUACCAGCUGGCUGCAACUGUUUAUUAAAAACACAGCACUGUGCAAACACGAAAGUGGACGUAUACGGUGUGACGCCUGCCCGGUGCCGGAAGGUUAAUUGAUGGGGUCAGCGCAAGCGAAGCUCCUGAUCGAAGCCCCGGUAAACGGCGGCCGUAACUAUAACGGUCCUAAGGUAGCGAAAUUCCUUGUCGGGUAAGUUCCGACCUGCACGAAUGGCGUAAUGAUGGCGGGCUGUCUCCACCCGAGACUCAGUGAAAUUGAACUCGCUGUGAAGAUGCAGUGUACCCGCGGCAAGACGGAAAGACCCCGUGAACCUUUACUAUAGCUUGACACUGAACAUUGAGCCUUGAUGUGUAGGAUAGGUGGGAGGCUUUGAAGUGUGGACGCCAGUCUGCAUGGAGCCGACCUUGAAAUACCACCCUUUAAUGUUUGAUGUUCUAACGUGGACCCGUUACCCGGGUUGCGGACAGUGUCUGGUGGGUAGUUUGACUGGGGCGGUCUCCUCCUAAAGAGUAACGGAGGAGCACGAAGGUUGGCUAAUCUGGUCGGACAUCAGGAGGUUAGUGCAAUGGCAUAAGCCAGCUUGACUGCGAGCGUGACGGCGCGAGCAGGUGCGAAAGCAGGUCAUAGUGAUCCGGUGGUUCUGAAUGGAAGGGCCAUCGCUCAACGGAUAAAAGGUACUCCGGGGAUAACAGGCUGAUACCGCCCAAGAGUUCAUAUCGACGGCGGUGUUUGGCACCUCGAUGUCGGCUCAUCACAUCCUGGGGCUGAAGUAGGUCCCAAGGGUAUGGCUGUUCGCCAUUUAAAGUGGUACGCGAGCUGGGUUUAGAACGUCGUGAGACAGUUCGGUCCCUAUCUGCCGUGGGCGCUGGAGAACUGAGGGGGGCUGCUCCUAGUACGAGAGGACCGGAGUGGACGCAUCACUGGUGUUCGGGUUGUCAUGCCAAUGGCACUGCCCGGUAGCUAAAUGCGGAAGAGAUAAGUGCUGAAAGCAUCUAAGCACGAAACUUGCCCCGAGAUGAGUUCUCCCUGAGACUUAAAGUCUCCUGAAGGAACGUUGAAGACGACGACGUUGAUAGGCCGGGUGUGUAAGCGCAGCGAUGCGUUGAGCUAACCGGUACUAAUGAACCGUGAGGCUUAACCUUACAACGCCGAAG
RNAcentral lists this ribosomal RNA (2923 nucleotides) under Salmonella enterica. RNAcentral's name for it is "23S ribosomal RNA". It matches the Rfam family "Bacterial large subunit ribosomal RNA". Lineage: Bacteria; Pseudomonadati; Pseudomonadota; Gammaproteobacteria; Enterobacterales; Enterobacteriaceae. The record is from RNAcentral.